RNAcentral lists this ribosomal RNA (1528 nucleotides) under Klebsiella pneumoniae CHS 07. Its description in RNAcentral is "bacterial SSU rRNA". It matches the Rfam family "Bacterial small subunit ribosomal RNA". The record is from RNAcentral. Lineage: Bacteria; Pseudomonadati; Pseudomonadota; Gammaproteobacteria; Enterobacterales; Enterobacteriaceae.
AGAGUUUGAUCAUGGCUCAGAUUGAACGCUGGCGGCAGGCCUAACACAUGCAAGUCGAGCGGUAGCACAGAGAGCUUGCUCUCGGGUGACGAGCGGCGGACGGGUGAGUAAUGUCUGGGAAACUGCCUGAUGGAGGGGGAUAACUACUGGAAACGGUAGCUAAUACCGCAUAACGUCGCAAGACCAAAGUGGGGGACCUUCGGGCCUCAUGCCAUCAGAUGUGCCCAGAUGGGAUUAGCUAGUAGGUGGGGUAACGGCUCACCUAGGCGACGAUCCCUAGCUGGUCUGAGAGGAUGACCAGCCACACUGGAACUGAGACACGGUCCAGACUCCUACGGGAGGCAGCAGUGGGGAAUAUUGCACAAUGGGCGCAAGCCUGAUGCAGCCAUGCCGCGUGUGUGAAGAAGGCCUUCGGGUUGUAAAGCACUUUCAGCGGGGAGGAAGGCGUUAAGGUUAAUAACCUUGGCGAUUGACGUUACCCGCAGAAGAAGCACCGGCUAACUCCGUGCCAGCAGCCGCGGUAAUACGGAGGGUGCAAGCGUUAAUCGGAAUUACUGGGCGUAAAGCGCACGCAGGCGGUCUGUCAAGUCGGAUGUGAAAUCCCCGGGCUCAACCUGGGAACUGCAUUCGAAACUGGCAGGCUAGAGUCUUGUAGAGGGGGGUAGAAUUCCAGGUGUAGCGGUGAAAUGCGUAGAGAUCUGGAGGAAUACCGGUGGCGAAGGCGGCCCCCUGGACAAAGACUGACGCUCAGGUGCGAAAGCGUGGGGAGCAAACAGGAUUAGAUACCCUGGUAGUCCACGCCGUAAACGAUGUCGAUUUGGAGGUUGUGCCCUUGAGGCGUGGCUUCCGGAGCUAACGCGUUAAAUCGACCGCCUGGGGAGUACGGCCGCAAGGUUAAAACUCAAAUGAAUUGACGGGGGCCCGCACAAGCGGUGGAGCAUGUGGUUUAAUUCGAUGCAACGCGAAGAACCUUACCUGGUCUUGACAUCCACAGAACUUAGCAGAGAUGGAUUGGUGCCUUCGGGAACUGUGAGACAGGUGCUGCAUGGCUGUCGUCAGCUCGUGUUGUGAAAUGUUGGGUUAAGUCCCGCAACGAGCGCAACCCUUAUCCUUUGUUGCCAGCGGUCCGGCCGGGAACUCAAAGGAGACUGCCAGUGAUAAACUGGAGGAAGGUGGGGAUGACGUCAAGUCAUCAUGGCCCUUACGACCAGGGCUACACACGUGCUACAAUGGCAUAUACAAAGAGAAGCGACCUCGCGAGAGCAAGCGGACCUCAUAAAGUAUGUCGUAGUCCGGAUUGGAGUCUGCAACUCGACUCCAUGAAGUCGGAAUCGCUAGUAAUCGUAGAUCAGAAUGCUACGGUGAAUACGUUCCCGGGCCUUGUACACACCGCCCGUCACACCAUGGGAGUGGGUUGCAAAAGAAGUAGGUAGCUUAACCUUCGGGAGGGCGCUUACCACUUUGUGAUUCAUGACUGGGGUGAAGUCGUAACAAGGUAACCGUAGGGGAACCUGCGGUUGGAUCACCU